RNAcentral lists this ribosomal RNA (328 nucleotides) under uncultured Exiguobacterium sp. RNAcentral describes it as "bacterial SSU rRNA". It matches the Rfam family "Bacterial small subunit ribosomal RNA", at positions 1 to 311 of the family's 1533-position model. Lineage: Bacteria; Bacillati; Bacillota; Bacilli; Caryophanales. The record is from RNAcentral.
UAGUGAGUUUGAUCCUGGCUCAGGACGAACGCUGGCGGCGUGCCUAAGUACAUGCAAGUCGAGCGCAGGAAGCUCACGGAACUCUUCGGAGGGAAGUGAAGGGAAUGAGCGGCGGACGGGUGAGUAACACGUAAGGAACCUGCCCCAAGGAUUGGGAUAGCUCCGAGAAAUCGGAGCUAAUACCGAAUAGUUCUUCAGACCACAUGGUCUGAUGAUGAAAGGCGCUUCGGCGUCACCUUGGGAUGGCCUUGCGGUGCAUUAGCUAGUUGUGGGGUAAUGGCCCACCAAGGCGACGAUGCAUAGCCGACCUGAGAGGGUGAUCGGCCAC